UUUGUUUGCAUGGGUUUAUCAAAGGGUUUCUUGCAGAGAUUGUUGGCAUUCUGUCCACCUCCUCCCUCUCUCUAAAAAAUGAGAGUUUUUCGAUUUUAAUGCAUCGUGAGGAGGUGGGCAUCCUGCCAACCACACUCUGUGGGCUACUCUCUGUAAAACUCAUGCAAUUGCAGG
This 174-nucleotide microRNA precursor is filed under the name Amborella trichopoda. Its description in RNAcentral is "miR394 stem-loop (atr-MIR394)". Its record names the gene atr-MIR394. The stretch from base 30 to 143 matches the Rfam family "MIR394 microRNA precursor family". Lineage: Eukaryota; Viridiplantae; Streptophyta; Magnoliopsida; Amborellales; Amborellaceae. The record is from miRBase by way of RNAcentral.